GAUGAAUGCUGGCGGCGUGCCUAACACAUGCAAGUCGAGCGGCAGCGAGUUUUACACUGAAUUCUGGAAGCUUCUGAGUAGUAUAGAAGAUUUAUUCAAGAAUUUUGUGUAAAAUGUCGGCGAGCGGCGGACGGCUGAGUAACGCGUAGGAAUUUGCCCCAAAGUGAGGAAUAACUGCCCGAAAGGGUAGCUAAUGCCGCAUAUGGUCUUCGGAUUAAAGCCUUCGGGCGCUUUGGGAGAAGCCUGCGUUGGAUUAGGUAGUUGGUAGGGUAAUGGCCUACCAAGCCGACGAUCCAUAGCUGGUCUGAGAGGAUGAUCAGCCAGACUGGAACUGAGACACGGUCCAGACUCCUACGGGAGGCAGCAGUGAGGAAUCUUCCACAAUGGGCGAAAGCCUGAUGGAGCAACGCCGCGUGAAGGAUGAAGGCCUUCGGGUUGUAAACUUCUUUUAUGAGUGAAGAAUAUGACGGUAACUCAUGAAUAAGCACCGGCUAACUACGUGCCAGCAGCCGCGGUCAUACGUAGGGUGCAAGCAUUAUCCGGAGUGACUGGGCGUAAAAGUUGCGUAAGCGGUUAAUAAGUGAAUAGUGAAACCUGGUGGCUCAACCAUACAGACUAUUAUUCAAACUGUUAAACUCGAGAAUGGUAGAGGUAACUGGAAUUUCUAGUGUAGGAGUGAAAUCCGUAGAUAUUAGAAGGAACACCGAUGGCGUAGGCAGGUUACUGGGCCAUUUCUGACGCUAAGGCACGAAAGCGUGGGGAGCGAACCGGAUUAGAUACCCGGGUAGUCCACGCCGUAAACGAUGGAUACUAGCUGUUGGAGGUACCGACCCCUUCAGUAGCGAAGCUAACGCGUUAAGUAUCCCGCCUGUGGAGUACGGCCGCAAGGCUAAAACAUAAAGGAAUUGACGGGGACCCGCACAAGCGGUGGAUUAUGUUCUUUAAUUCGAUGAUAACCGAAGAACCUUACCAGGGCUUGACAUCCAGGGAAGGUCUGCGAAAGUAGACUGUGCCUUUUGGAACCCUGUGACAGGUGAUGCAUGGCCGUCGUCAGCUCGUGUCGUGAGAUGUUAGGUUAAGUCCUUCAACGAGCGCAACCCUUGUGAAUAGUUGUAUUUUUCUAUUCAGACUGCCCCGGUAACGGGGAGGAAGGAGGGGAUGAUGUCAGGUCAGUAUUUCCCUUACGUCCUGGGCUAGAAACGUAAUACAAUGGCUAGUACAAUGCGCAGCGAAGCCGCGAGGUGAAGCAAAUCGCAUCAAAGCUAGUCCCAGUUCGGAUCUGUAGGCUGAAACUCGCCUGCAUGAAGUCGGAAUCGCUAGUAAUCGCAAAUCAGCAAGUUGCGGUGAAUACGUUCCCCGGUCU
RNAcentral lists this ribosomal RNA (1363 nucleotides) under uncultured bacterium. Its description in RNAcentral is "bacterial SSU rRNA". It matches the Rfam family "Bacterial small subunit ribosomal RNA", at positions 28 to 1381 of the family's 1533-position model. The record is from RNAcentral.